Molecule: ribosomal RNA, 516 nt
Filed under: Salmonella enterica subsp. enterica serovar Newport
Lineage: Bacteria; Pseudomonadati; Pseudomonadota; Gammaproteobacteria; Enterobacterales; Enterobacteriaceae
Also listed under: 2 other names
Description: partial 16S ribosomal RNA
Rfam family: Bacterial small subunit ribosomal RNA
Source: RNAcentral
UGAAGAGUUUGAUCAUGGCUCAGAUUGAACGCUGGCGGCAGGCCUAACACAUGCAAGUCGAACGGUAACAGGAAGCAGCUUGCUGCUUUGCUGACGAGUGGCGGACGGGUGAGUAAUGUCUGGGAAACUGCCUGAUGGAGGGGGAUAACUACUGGAAACGGUGGCUAAUACCGCAUAACGUCGCAAGACCAAAGAGGGGGACCUUCGGGCCUCUUGCCAUCAGAUGUGCCCAGAUGGGAUUAGCUUGUUGGUGAGGUAACGGCUCACCAAGGCGACGAUCCCUAGCUGGUCUGAGAGGAUGACCAGCCACACUGGAACUGAGACACGGUCCAGACUCCUACGGGAGGCAGCAGUGGGGAAUAUUGCACAAUGGGCGCAAGCCUGAUGCAGCCAUGCCGCGUGUAUGAAGAAGGCCUUCGGGUUGUAAAGUACUUUCAGCGGGGAGGAAGGUGUUGUGGUUAAUAACCGCAGCAAUUGACGUUACCCGCAGAAGAAGCACCGGCUAACUCCGUGCCA